CUGCAGCUGCAAUUUUUUUCUCCUAGUUUACAGAUUCUGGUGGCUUCUAGCAAUGACCAUGCUGCACACAGGGCUGUCCUUCCCCCACAUACUUAAGUGUGCAGCCUGAAUGUACAGCCACUGGUAGGUACAAGCAGGGGUUAGGCCUCAGGUGCAAGUUCAAGGACACACCCGUGUGGCAGUGGUGAGCACUCUGACUUAGCGAUGAUCUUCAGUCUCUCAAGGUCACAGUCCUUGAGAAAUUCCUGACCACGUAAAUGAAGUUGUUGGUUUCCAUUGGCUGUUAAUGAGUCAAAGAGCAGCUCAGCACACUGACAAAGGCAUCCAUUUAUUGUCAUCCGCAGGUGUACUGAGCCACAGUGCAGAAACAGGGCAUGGAGUCCAGUACACUGCUGUGAGAUCACAGUUCCACUGGUGAACUGAUGGUAUGUGCUCAGGAAAAUAGCUCUGCUGUUUGCCCUCUGCAACUGCCAUCAGCAAGCUGUUCCCUCUGAUUUCCAGAGUAAACUUAUU
Pezoporus flaviventris is the source of this 513-nucleotide long non-coding RNA. RefSeq lists it as uncharacterized. Lineage: Eukaryota; Metazoa; Chordata; Aves; Psittaciformes; Psittacidae. The transcript is spliced from 3 exons. The record is from RefSeq and is a predicted model, not a curated record.